UACGUAGGGUGCAAGCGUUAAUCGGAAUUACUGGGCGUAAAGCGUGCGCAGGCGGUUUUGUAAGUCAGAUGUGAAAUCCCCGGGCUUAACCUGGGAACUGCGUUUGAAACUACAAGGCUAGAGUGUGGCAGAGGGGGGUGGAAUUCCACGUGUAGCAGUGAAAUGCGUAGAUAUGCGGAGGAACACCGAUGGCGAAGGCAAUCCCCUGGGCCUGCACUGACGCUCAUGCACGAAAGCGUGGGGAGCAAACAGG
This 253-nucleotide ribosomal RNA is filed under the name uncultured bacterium. Its description in RNAcentral is "partial 16S ribosomal RNA". It matches the Rfam family "Bacterial small subunit ribosomal RNA", at positions 524 to 776 of the family's 1533-position model. The record is from RNAcentral.